This 313-nucleotide unclassified non-coding RNA is filed under the name plant metagenome. Its description in RNAcentral is "partial contains 5.8S ribosomal RNA, internal transcribed spacer 2, and large subunit ribosomal RNA". The stretch from base 1 to 104 matches the Rfam family "5.8S ribosomal RNA", at positions 51 to 154 of the family's 154-position model. The record is from RNAcentral.
AAAUGCGAUAAUUAAUGUGAAUUGCAGAAUUCAGUGAAUCAUCGAGUCUUUGAACGCACAUUGCGCCCCCUGGUAUUCCGGGGGGCAUGCCUGUCCGAGCGUCAUUGCUGCCCUCAAGCACGGCUUGUGUGUUGGGCUUCCGUCCCUGGCAACGGGGACGGGCCCAAAAGGCAGUGGCGGCACCAUGUCUGGUCCUCGAGCGUAUGGGGCUUUGUCACCCGCUCCCGUAGGUCCAGCUGGCAGCUAGCCUCGCAACCAAUCUUUUUAACCAGGUUGACCUCGGAUCAGGUAGGGAUACCCGCUGAACUUACGC